Molecule: transfer RNA, 81 nt
Filed under: Cordylochernes scorpioides
Lineage: Eukaryota; Metazoa; Arthropoda; Arachnida; Pseudoscorpiones; Chernetidae
Description: tRNA-Tyr
Rfam family: tRNA
About the family: Transfer RNA (tRNA) molecules are approximately 80 nucleotides in length. Their secondary structure includes four short double-helical elements and three loops (D, anti-codon, and T loops).
Source: RNAcentral
CCCUCGAUAGCUCAGUUGGCAGAGCGGAGGACUGUAGAUGUUUUAACGGUGAUCCUUAGGUCGCUGGUCCGGCUCGAAGGA